RNAcentral lists this ribosomal RNA (419 nucleotides) under bacterium. RNAcentral describes it as "partial 16S ribosomal RNA". It matches the Rfam family "Bacterial small subunit ribosomal RNA", at positions 355 to 776 of the family's 1533-position model. The record is from RNAcentral.
UGGGGGAUAUUGCACAAUGGGCGAAAGCCUGAUGCAGCGACGCCGCGUGGGGGAUGAAGGCCUUCGGGUUGUAAACUUCUUUUGCUCUGAACAAGGCGCACCAUGGGGUGUGUUGAGUGUAGGGGUUGAUUAGCGCCGGCUAACUACGUGCCAGCAGCCGCGGUAAUACGUAGGGCGCGAGCGUUGUCCGGAAUUAUUGGGCGUAAAGGGCUUGUAGGUGGCUGGUUGCGUCUGUCGUGAAAGCUCAUGGCUUAACUGUGGGUUUGCGGUGGGUACGGGCUGGCUUGAGUGCAGUAGGGGAGGCUGGAAUUCCUGGUGUAGCGGUGGAAUGCGCAGAUAUCAGGAUGAAUACCGGUGGCGAAGGCGGGUCUCUGGGCUGUUACUGACACUGAGGAGCGAAAGCAUGGGGAGCGAACAGG